CUACAUUUGUGUUUAAAUUUAAAUUUCUUUCAAUAAUCUAUUGUCGAGGGUUUUUGGAAUAAUGGAGCAAUAUAAUGUAAUACAGACAAAAGCAAAGCGGGUGCGUUCCAACCCAACCAGAAAGUGGCUGUUUGAAGAAGAAAAGUCAUUAAUUGAAUUUUAAACAUAAUACAGAGAUUUUUAGAAGCCAACGUCUCAAAUGUAUUAUAGACGAUUUGCAAAGGAGGGCAACAUUGCGGUGGACUAGAAGCUCGAAGGUUCGUUAUAUGCGUACAACAUAUACGGAUAGUAUAACGAAGCAAAACAUGGGAAGUCUCAACGGGUGCAGGGAGUAUGGAAAGUGAAACUAUGAAGGCCACUUAAAAUGUGUAAAUCUUUUUAUGAAAUGGAAAAAUUAAAUUUUCGGCAGCAGAGUGAUUGUGCCAGCAGUAAUCAACGAUAGUUUGGAAAACAACGAAAGCUGUUCGGAAGUAGACCUCAACGAGUCAGCGUCUUCUGCGGCUGUAUGAGAAGAUUUGUAAAGGAAUGUAUUCCAGAACUGCGGCAUCAGAUAUUCUGCAAUUUCAGUCUGAAAUGAUACAGUUGAAAAGGCAGAAAAUUGAGCACGAAAUGAGUUUUAAGGAGAAAGAGGUGGAAUUAAGAGAAAGGGAAUUGAUGAUUAAAACAAAAAGAAGUGGAGUUAACGGAAAAGCAAUUAUUACGAAAAGACAAAGAAAUAGAGACGAAACUAAAAUAAUUGGAAAGUAAUGAAAAACUAAAAAUAAUGGAAAUACAAAUGAAAAAAAGAUUGGCAAUGGAGGAAUUGAAACACAGAUACAAAUAAGUGGAAGAAGUGGUGCAAGAGAAUUUUAAAUUACCUGAAGUAAAUUAAUGUACCUGAAGUUCAUUUUUAAUAAUUACUUUUUAUAUUAAUUUUUAAAUAGAAUAAAAACAUUUUUACAUAUGUAGGUAGGUAUUGAGUAAAUAUACGAUGAAAAAAUGAUGUAUUUUAAGUUAA
This is a long non-coding RNA of Bactrocera latifrons, 997 nucleotides long. RefSeq lists it as uncharacterized. The record is from RefSeq and is a predicted model, not a curated record. The transcript is spliced from 4 exons. NCBI's taxonomy places the organism in Eukaryota, Metazoa, Arthropoda, Insecta, Diptera, Tephritidae.